This 405-nucleotide ribosomal RNA is filed under the name uncultured bacterium. RNAcentral's name for it is "partial 16S ribosomal RNA". It matches the Rfam family "Bacterial small subunit ribosomal RNA", at positions 28 to 526 of the family's 1533-position model. The record is from RNAcentral.
GAUGAACGCUGGCGGCGUGCCUAAUACAUGCAAGUCGAGCGAAGCGGGGACGGGUGAGUAACACGUGGAUAACCUCCUAUAAGAAGGGGAUAACCUCGGGAAACCGGACCUAAACCGGACAAUUAUAGUAGGAUCAGCGGGGGAUUAGCUAGUUGGUAAGGUAACGGCUUACCAAGUCAACGAUGCAUAGCCGACCUGAGAGGGUGACCGGCCACACUGGAACUGAGACACGGUCCAGACUCCUACGGGAGGCAGCAGUAGGGAAUCUUCCGCAAUGGGCGAAAGCCUGACGAAGCAACGCCGCGUGAGUGAUGAAGGUCUUCGGAUCGUAAAGCUCUGUUAUUAGGGAAGCGGUACCUAAUGAGAAAGCCCCGGCUAACUACGUGCCAGCCGCCGCGGUAAUUC